This 1141-nucleotide long non-coding RNA is filed under the name Salmo salar (Atlantic salmon). RNAcentral describes it as "lncRNA (ENSSSAG00000084961.1, ENSSSAG00020058950.1, ENSSSAG00075030392.1)". The record is from RNAcentral. Lineage: Eukaryota; Metazoa; Chordata; Actinopteri; Salmoniformes; Salmonidae.
CAACAUCAAUGUGUCAAACUACUUAGCUAUUUUAAACUCUUUAAGGGAAAUUAAUUCCCCCGUGGUGAAUAGAGGGGUGGCAUUUCCCAACAUUUCUCCAGAUCCCUUCUUCAGUAUUCGUACUUCAGUAUUCCUUUACCAGAACACAACCGGCAUUCAUGCUGCGGGUACAUGUUGCCGGUGUGGUGAUACUGAUGGUUUGUUGACAGCAGUAGCAUUUUAGCUAAGCCUAACCUACUACGGACAGAAGUGACUUUUCGCUGCAGUUUAUGAGAACAACGCAGCAGGUUAGGGGAAUUAGCGUAGCAGAUUAGGAAAAAUAUAAGGGUUAGGUUUAGCAAAAAUUAUUAUCCCGGACGUGACAACUAGAUAGAGCUGUACUGGUAGCCACAACCGUACAAACCUGAGUCUCGACAAACCAUCAGUAUCAUAACACUGGUAACUCUGAAGAGACAUGGAGGUGAAGACAUUAUGGUCUUCAUUAUUAAACUCACCUUCUGCACCUGCUUCCUGGGCUCCCGGCGCAUACGUGUCAGAAUACUGCCUCACAAAUUUUGGAAGCAGCAGAAGAUAAAGACAUCUCCCAGACGGUCGGUGAACAGGGACAGCUACUCCGUCAACAGUUGGCUCAACUGGGUGCGGCUAUGGAUGAGGUCCUCUGCGUCCUCCACUGCCUCGACACCACCCGAGAGGAUUCACCUACAACUAGCGGAGGGCCUUGUACCUCGAGUCGUCCCGGUGAGCCAGCCCCCCAGCCUACCCAGCAGUCUGCUCAGGGAGGUGAUGCCCGACUGUCCCUCCUGGACACGUAGGAUGGGACUCCAUCCAAAUGCCUUGGCUUCCUACUCCAGUGCUCCCUCUAUUUCGCCCAUCAGACAGGAGCCCCACCACCGAGAGGUCCAAGGUUGCCACGGUCACUUCCCUACUGACCGGGCGGGCGUUGGAGUGGGCUACAGCUGUCUAGGGGAGAGGAAGAGUUCCCACGAGAGGUUCAUGGCUCUGUUUCCGGCGGUCUUCAACCAUCCAGCAGAGGGAGGUGAGUGACUAUUCCAACUCCGGCAGGGUGCACAGACAGCUGAGGAGUACCUCACCUUCCGGACCAUGGCAGCCUCCAUCGGAUGGAACGAACCGGCGCUCUGAA